RNAcentral lists this ribosomal RNA (372 nucleotides) under uncultured organism. RNAcentral describes it as "partial 16S ribosomal RNA". It matches the Rfam family "Bacterial small subunit ribosomal RNA", at positions 527 to 896 of the family's 1533-position model. The record is from RNAcentral.
GGAGGGUGCAAACGUUGUUCGGAAUCACUGGGCGUAAAGGGCGCGCAGGCGGACCUGUAAGUCAGGAGUGAAAACUCGGGGGCUCAACUCCGAGCCUGCUUCUGAAACUGCAAGUCUUGAGGGCCGGAGAGGAGAGUGGAAUUCCUAGUGUAGCGGUGGAAUGCGUAGAUAUUAGGAAGAACACCAGUGGCGAAGGCGACUCUCUGGACGGUUCCUGACGCUGAGGCGCGAAAGCUAGGGGAGCAAACAGGAUUAGAUACCCUGGUAGUCCUAGCCGUAAACGAUGAGUGCUAGGUGGUGGUGGUUUCAACGCCUUCACUGCCGGAGCUAACGCAUUAAGCACUCCGCCUGGGGAGUACGGCCGCAAGGUUG